UUGAGCCUGCUGUCUGAUCUAAAAAUGAAUGGAGUCAUGUUUUGUAGCAAUUAUUGUGGCCUUUGUGUUUUGCCAAUUACACAUACAUGCUAGCAGAGAGUAGAUAUGGUUGGCCUUGUUCAAUAGAGCCAUUGGACUUGUCUCAACGAUGUUCCUAUCUGCCACGACAUCGCAGGAUACCUAGGUUGACAAAUUUUCCCUGGCUUUGUAAAGACUACAGCCUGACAGGAGCCCUACUUUGCUUUUCAAAAUGGCGUCGGUACUAGUAUCUACACGUUAAUGGGAGCUAUGUUACCGUGCACUGUCUAUCCAAGAUGGCAAAAUAAUUACAAUGGCUGCUUCUGAUAAUUCCUCUUUCCAAGAAGAGCUUGACGACGAAACAGUUUUUUGAUGUUCUUUUACAUACUAACAUAGGGAUAUACUGCCCUAUUCAUUUGAGCCGGAAUACACUGAAGCCGAGUUGAGACAGCGAGAACAAGAAUUGCGAGACCAGCAAACAACGAUGGGGAGCCACGGUCAGACUCCGACUGGUGGUACCUAUGCGGGUGCUGUCUAGCCAUGCCAACAAAAGAGGAACGUCAGUGCUCAACAAAUUCUCUUGCUGGAGGAGGUCACUGCAGACCCCAUGGAUCAUGUGUAUGUGACAGACCAUUGAAGUUGACUCACAUAUGGAUUUUGGUGUGCGCGAGACGUUCUUCAGAACCUUCAAGAUCAACUGGCGGAGGCAGCCUAGACCAGCUGGACCAGUAGGGCAAAUGACAAACAAYCAAUACUUCUUGGUGGCCUACAGAUUAUUUUGGGAGUUUGUUCUACAUGGGAGAAGCUAGGCACUGAAUCCCCUUGUCUGCAUAUGUUGUUGGAGCCAUAUUAGCAAUGUAUCCCUCACACAGUGGACAGUAUGUUAGAUACAAAUAAGUUGAUGACUCAAGCGGAGAGUGUGUAAGGUCCAUAACAACAAUCUCCCCUUGUAUCAAAGUGACUCUGAACACCUCACUGCACCRCCCAAACAGGCCAUAUGCAAUAUUCACAUUGUAGAACUGUAGUAUUUAUUAUAGGUGUUAGUAGUAUAUUUUUCUUCUACUGUUGUAUAAAUGUCAUACAGUACAUUGCCAUAACUGUUCCUGCAUACUGCUGUGUAAACUCACCUUGGUCUCCAGAGCAAAUAAACUAUGUCUGGAAUAGAA
Molecule: long non-coding RNA, 1184 nt
Organism: Salvelinus sp. IW2-2015
Lineage: Eukaryota; Metazoa; Chordata; Actinopteri; Salmoniformes; Salmonidae
Source: RefSeq, a predicted model, not a curated record